RNAcentral lists this long non-coding RNA (1531 nucleotides) under Homo sapiens (human). Its description in RNAcentral is "HSALNT0345375". Lineage: Eukaryota; Metazoa; Chordata; Mammalia; Primates; Hominidae. The record is from RNAcentral.
GGCUAUUGCCGGCAGUGGCUUUAAAUCCUCCGGGUUGCAGAUCUGGCCAGGUGGCCUGUCCUUCGUGAUUGCACAUCCAGCCUGGUGAGGCAGCUGCCAAACCCUCAGCUGUCGUCUUCCUCCAUGUGGCCCUUGCUCCUGAACUGUGACCCUGCUAACUACUUUCCUUCUCCCCAGACUCAAAUUUGUACAGUAAAAAACACUUCCAAACAUUUCUAUUUGAUGGAACGGAAGGAGAAUUAACAAGUAUUUCAAUCUUACAUGACCUCUGAAGAAAUGCUGAAGGAGGCUGACAGGAAAGAGUUACCCAACAGAUACCAAAAUGAUCCCGAGCUCUGAAGUUCUGAGCUCAGAAAUGUGUUUGCACAGCAUAGAUGCAUUAGAUCCUGUUCAGCAAUAGAACUGGAGAAAUACCACAGUAAAGCAGAUGUGACGAGCCCACCAGACAGUAACAAGUGCAAACUUCCUCCCAGGUUCCUAGUUGAGUAUGUUUGUGCCAGGUCAUUACAGUAUCACUUCUUUUCCCACUUAAUAUGUUUCUUUCCUCCUUUUAUCUUUGUUAAAAUAUUUUGGUACUUCAUUGUAACUCUAUUAGAAUAAAGGAAUACUUGCUUUAUAUUUGUAUGCAGUUCUUUCCAGAUUUAACGAAAUGGCCUGUAGAUGUUCCUGAUAAUUUUCUCCACUUUACAAUAUGUCUUUAGAGAGGGAUCACACUAUUUCAGAAGAUAUUUGUAAAGUACUUUAAGGACUUUGAAAUAAAGGUGCCCCAAAGAUAAUGAGAUGAUUUUAUUCUAAACUACUCUGAAAUGUGAUUUUUCCAUUCUUUCCCCAUCAAGUGAAAAUCAAAAUAUGUCUUAACAAAUUUGUGAGAGGAUUAUGUCAGAAUGCCUUCGUAUGACCAGUCUAACAUUCUUGUACAUGGAAUUGUAUCAUAAAUACCAAAAAGGUAAGGGGCUAUUGAUCUCAUGUUUUCUUUCCUUCUCCUGCCACACCUUCUCUUUUUAGAUGAAUUUAUUUACUCUUCCUUUAGUCUUCCUUCUCUUUAUUAUAUAAAACAAUAUGAGGCAAUUUGUAACAUUUUCAAAAAUUUUACUAGAAGUCCCCAUGUCAGAAGAAUCACUGUUUUUGUAAAAUGCAUGAUAUAUUCACUGAUUAAUGCAUGUAUAUACCAGGUCUUGGGAUCCCACAGCAAAUGCAAUGUUGUGAUCUCCAUGACAACUCCAAGGUAUUCUUAUUUCAGUGUCCAAAUUUGAAAUUCCUGGACAUGUCUUAUCUAAGUCAUCUGCAUCAUAUAAGACAAGGACACAAUCAACCUAUGGUGGAAUGCUGAGAAAAAUAUGAAGUUUGCUCAUAUAGAACCACAGAUGUGGUUUACUCUGCUGAGACUUCAACAUAAUGACUCCUAAAAAUUAAGAUGUAAGCACAAGCCCUAUCUUGUGUAAUUAUCUGGUUUAAUUCAUCCCAAGCGCUAUCUUGUCUAUCUUGUGUAAUUAAUCCCAAAAGCUCAAAAUAGGGCUUGAUAUAUACUAGG